This 278-nucleotide microRNA precursor is filed under the name Medicago truncatula (barrel medic). RNAcentral describes it as "MIR2655 microRNA precursor family". It matches the Rfam family "MIR2655 microRNA precursor family". The record is from Rfam by way of RNAcentral. Lineage: Eukaryota; Viridiplantae; Streptophyta; Magnoliopsida; Fabales; Fabaceae.
CCCUUAACUAUUAAAAGUUUCGUUUUGGUCCCUUAACUUAUUUUUUGGUUUCAUUUUGGUCCCUUAACUCUUUCUCCGACAACCACUUUGGUCCUUUAUGUUAGGAUGAAUGUAUUACAGUUAAGGACCAAAACGAAAUCAAAAAAUAAGUUAAGUGACCAAAACGAAAACAAAAAAUAAGUUACGGGACCAAAACGAAACUUUUAAUAGUUAAGGGACCAAAACGAAACCAAAAAAUAAGUUAAGGGACCAAAACGAAACUUUUAAUAGUUAAGGGA